This 479-nucleotide ribosomal RNA is filed under the name Pseudomonas sp. 01WB04.1-22. RNAcentral describes it as "bacterial SSU rRNA". It matches the Rfam family "Bacterial small subunit ribosomal RNA", at positions 1 to 482 of the family's 1533-position model. The record is from RNAcentral. Lineage: Bacteria; Pseudomonadati; Pseudomonadota; Gammaproteobacteria; Pseudomonadales; Pseudomonadaceae.
UAGAGCUUGAUCAUGGCUCAGAUUGAACGCUGGCGGCAGGCCUAACACAUGCAAGUCGAGCGGUAGAGAGAAGCUUGCUUCUCUUGAGAGCGGCGGACGGGUGAGUAAUGCCUAGGAAUCUGCCUGGUAGUGGGGGAUAACGUUCGGAAACGGACGCUAAUACCGCAUACGUCCUACGGGAGAAAGCAGGGGACCUUCGGGCCUUGCGCUAUCAGAUGAGCCUAGGUCGGAUUAGCUAGUUGGUGAGGUAAUGGCUCACCAAGGCGACGAUCCGUAACUGGUCUGAGAGGAUGAUCAGUCACACUGGAACUGAGACACGGUCCAGACUCCUACGGGAGGCAGCAGUGGGGAAUAUUGGACAAUGGGCGAAAGCCUGAUCCAGCCAUGCCGCGUGUGUGAAGAAGGUCUUCGGAUUGUAAAGCACUUUAAGUUGGGAGGAAGGGCAGUUACCUAAUACGUAAUUGUUUUGACGUACCGAC